AUGCUCAACGUGGCCAAGCUGCUCCACGCCCGGGGCUUCGACGUCACCUUCGUCAACACCGAGUACAACCACGCCCGCCUCGUCCGCUCCCGCGGCGCCGCCGCCGUGGCCGGCCUCCCGGGCUUCCGCUUCGCCACCAUCCCGGACGGCCUGCCGCCAUCCGGCGACGACGACGUCACGCAAGACAUCCCCGCGCUCUGCAAGUCCACCACCGAGACCUGCCUCGGGCCGUUCCGCGACCUCCUCACCCGGCUCAACGACCCUGCCACGGGUAACCCGCCCGUCACCCGCGUCGUCUCUGACGUCGUCAUGGGGUUCUCCAUGGAGGCCGCCAACGAGCUCGGCCUCCCCUACGUCCAGCUCUGGACCGCCAGCGCCAUCAGCUACCUCGGGUACCGCCACUACCGCCUCCUCAUCGGCCGUGGCCUCGCCCCACUCAAAGACGCCGAGCAGCUGACGAACGGAUACCUUGACACGCCGGUGGAGGACGUGCCGGGGCUGAGGAGCAUGAGGCUCGGGGACUUCCCGUCCUUCAUACGCACCACGGACCCGGACGAGUACAUGGUGCACUACGUCCUGCGGGAGACGGAGCGCACGGCCGGUGCGUCGGCCGUCAUCCUCAACAGCUUCGACGACCUGGAGGGCGAGGCGGUGCAGGCCAUGGAGGCGCUCGGCCUGCCCAAGGUCUACACGCUCGGCCCGCUCCCGCUGCUGGCGCACAAGGAGUCGCCCUCGCCGCGCUCCGCCAUCAACCUCAGCCUCUGGAAGGAGCAGGACGAGUGCCUGCAGUGGCUGGACGGCAGGGAGCCCGGCUCCGUCGUCUACGUCAACUUCGGCAGCAUCACCGUCAUGACCAACGCGCAAAUGGUGGAGUUCGCGUGGGGCCUGGCGCAGAGCGGGAAGCAGUUCAUGUGGAUCGUCCGCCGAGACCUGGUGAAGGGCGACGCCGCGGUGCUCCCCGAGGAGUUCCUGGCCGAGACGGCGGGGCGCGAGCUCAUGGCGUCCUGGUGCCCGCAGCAGCAGGUGCUCGACCACCCCGCCGUGGGCGCCUUCCUGACGCACAGUGGCUGA
RNAcentral lists this ribosomal RNA (1071 nucleotides) under Triticum aestivum (bread wheat). Its description in RNAcentral is "partial small subunit ribosomal RNA". Lineage: Eukaryota; Viridiplantae; Streptophyta; Magnoliopsida; Poales; Poaceae. The record is from RNAcentral.